RNAcentral lists this ribosomal RNA (1378 nucleotides) under Escherichia coli. Its description in RNAcentral is "partial 23S ribosomal RNA". It matches the Rfam family "Bacterial large subunit ribosomal RNA", at positions 776 to 2136 of the family's 2925-position model. The record is from RNAcentral. Lineage: Bacteria; Pseudomonadati; Pseudomonadota; Gammaproteobacteria; Enterobacterales; Enterobacteriaceae.
GAACCGACUAAUGUUGAAAAAUUAGCGGAUGACUUGUGGCUGGGGGUGAAAGGCCAAUCAAACCGGGAGAUAGCUGGUUCUCCCCGAAAGCUAUUUAGGUAGCGCCUCGUGAAUUCAUCUCCGGGGGUAGAGCACUGUUUCGGCAAGGGGGUCAUCCCGACUUACCAACCCGAUGCAAACUGCGAAUACCGGAGAAUGUUAUCACGGGAGACACACGGCGGGUGCUAACGUCCGUCGUGAAGAGGGAAACAACCCAGACCGCCAGCUAAGGUCCCAAAGUCAUGGUUAAGUGGGAAACGAUGUGGGAAGGCCCAGACAGCCAGGAUGUUGGCUUAGAAGCAGCCAUCAUUUAAAGAAAGCGUAAUAGCUCACUGGUCGAGUCGGCCUGCGCGGAAGAUGUAACGGGGCUAAACCAUGCACCGAAGCUGCGGCAGCGACGCUUAUGCGUUGUUGGGUAGGGGAGCGUUCUGUAAGCCUGUGAAGGUGUGCUGUGAGGCAUGCUGGAGGUAUCAGAAGUGCGAAUGCUGACAUAAGUAACGAUAAAGCGGGUGAAAAGCCCGCUCGCCGGAAGACCAAGGGUUCCUGUCCAACGUUAAUCGGGGCAGGGUGAGUCGACCCCUAAGGCGAGGCCGAAAGGCGUAGUCGAUGGGAAACAGGUUAAUAUUCCUGUACUUGGUGUUACUGCGAAGGGGGGACGGAGAAGGCUAUGUUGGCCGGGCGACGGUUGUCCCGGUUUAAGCGUGUAGGCUGGUUUUCCAGGCAAAUCCGGAAAAUCAAGGCUGAGGCGUGAUGACGAGGCACUACGGUGCUGAAGCAACAAAUGCCCUGCUUCCAGGAAAAGCCUCUAAGCAUCAGGUAACAUCAAAUCGUACCCCAAACCGACACAGGUGGUCAGGUAGAGAAUACCAAGGCGCUUGAGAGAACUCGGGUGAAGGAACUAGGCAAAAUGGUGCCGUAACUUCGGGAGAAGGCACGCUGAUAUGUAGGUGAAGCGACUUGCUCGUGGAGCUGAAAUCAGUCGAAGAUACCAGCUGGCUGCAACUGUUUAUUAAAAACACAGCACUGUGCAAACACGAAAGUGGACGUAUACGGUGUGACGCCUGCCCGGUGCCGGAAGGUUAAUUGAUGGGGUCAGCGCAAGCGAAGCUCUUGAUCGAAGCCCCGGUAAACGGCGGCCGUAACUAUAACGGUCCUAAGGUAGCGAAAUUCCUUGUCGGGUAAGUUCCGACCUGCACGAAUGGCGUAAUGAUGGCCAGGCUGUCUCCACCCGAGACUCAGUGAAAUUGAACUCGCUGUGAAGAUGCAGUGUACCCGCGGCAAGACGGAAAGACCCCGUGAACCUUUACUAUAGCUUGACACUGAACAUUGAGCCUUGAUG